GCUCCUGUAGUUCAAUGGAUAGAACACGGGCCUUCUAAGCCUGAAAUCUAGGUCCGAUUCCUAGCGGGAGCACCA
RNAcentral lists this transfer RNA (75 nucleotides) under bacterium. RNAcentral's name for it is "tRNA-Arg". It matches the Rfam family "tRNA". From Rfam's summary of the family: Transfer RNA (tRNA) molecules are approximately 80 nucleotides in length. Their secondary structure includes four short double-helical elements and three loops (D, anti-codon, and T loops). The record is from RNAcentral.